GAUGAAGAACGUAGCGAAAUGCGAUAACUAAUGUGAAUUGCAGAAUUCCGUGAAUCAUCGAGUCUUUGAACGCACAUUGCGCCCCCUGGUAUUCCGGGGGGCAUGCCUGUCCGAGCGUCAUUGCUGCCCAUCAAGCACGGCUUGUGUGUUGGGUCCUCGUCCCCCCCGGGGGACGUGCCCGAAAGGCAGCGGCGGCACCGCGUCCGGUCCUCGAGCGUAUGGGGCUUUGUCACCCGCUCUGCAGGCCCGGCCGGCGCUGGCCGACGCGAAAGCAACCAUUUUUUCUCCAGGUUGACCUCGGAUCAGGUAGGGAUACCCGCUGAACUUAAGCAUACAAUAAGCGGAGGA
RNAcentral lists this unclassified non-coding RNA (348 nucleotides) under soil metagenome. RNAcentral describes it as "partial contains 5.8S ribosomal RNA, internal transcribed spacer 2, and large subunit ribosomal RNA". The stretch from base 1 to 120 matches the Rfam family "5.8S ribosomal RNA", at positions 35 to 154 of the family's 154-position model. The record is from RNAcentral.